This is an RNA transcript of Oncorhynchus gorbuscha (pink salmon), 4308 nucleotides long. It is a transcript of the gene named phosphatidylinositol 4-phosphate 5-kinase type-1 gamma-like, with no coding region annotated. NCBI's taxonomy places the organism in Eukaryota, Metazoa, Chordata, Actinopteri, Salmoniformes, Salmonidae. The record is from RefSeq and is a predicted model, not a curated record. The transcript is spliced from 19 exons.
AGUUCCUCAAAAAUCAGUCUGAGGCAGACGGAAAAGGGUAAACCCGUGUCUCUACAGCAGCAAGUGCAGUCGAACUGAGAGGAUUUGUGCCGCCGACGCGCUGAUAACCACCGCACAGAUGCCUGGCCCUAGGCCAUAACGGAUAUCACCCGACAUUUAUUUUUUAAUAUCAUCGUAUGGUUUAGCUGUAGGACGUCGAAUAACAACCGUUUGGUUUCGCCGAGUCGCGCCAUCGCUGUUGGUCUUUCAUUUGGAGGGCUCGCCCUUUCUCCGGGAGUCUGAAUGGAAGCAGCAGCCGAGGGAGCAGUUGGGCUGUCAGAGGCGAGACCGUUAUCCGGGGCUACAGCAUCAGAGGAUGCGGACACUGUCAUUGGAAUUAGCUACGGAAGGGACAGUGACAUGGACUAUUCUGCUAGAAAAGCACACAUCACAGAGCUGCCUGGUGUCUCGGGUCUACCAGGCCAGGGGAAGAGGAUGGGCCACAGGGGAGUGGACGCGUCCGGAGAGACCACCUACAAGAAGACCACGUCCUCCGCCCUGAAAGGUGCCAUCCAGCUGGGCAUCGGCUACACGGUGGGCAACCUGAGCUCCAAGCCUGAGAGAGACGUCCUCAUGCAGGACUUCUAUGUGGUGGAGAGCAUCUUCUUCCCCAGUGAAGGCAGCAACCUGACUCCAGCCCACCACUUCCCAGACUUCCGCUUCAAGACCUAUGCUCCUGUGGCCUUCCGCUACUUCAGGGAGCUCUUUGGGAUCAGGCCUGAUGACUACCUGUACUCCCUGUGUAACGAGCCCCUGAUUGAGUUGUCCAACCCCGGGGCCAGUGGCUCUGUGUUCUACCUGACCAAGGACGAUGAGUUCAUCAUCAAGACUGUCAUGCACAAGGAGGCAGAGUUUCUACAGAAGCUGCUGCCUGGAUACUACAUGAACCUCAACCAGAACCCUCGCACCCUGCUUCCCAAGUUCUUCGGCCUGUACUGCAUCCAAUCUGGCGGUAAGAACAUCCGCAUGGUGGUCAUGAACAAUGUUCUACCGCGCGCCGUCCGCAUGCACCUCAAGUUUGACCUGAAGGGCUCCACGUAUAAACGCUGUGCCUCCAAGAAGGAGAGACAGAAAGCCAAGCCCACCUUCAAAGACCUGGACUUCAUGCAGGACCUGCAGGAUGGCCUGAUGCUGGACCAGGAUAUGUACAGCGCUCUGGUCAAGACCCUGCAGAGAGACUGUUUGGUGCUGGAGAGCUUUAAGAUCAUGGACUACAGCUUGCUGCUGGGGGUCCAUAACAUCGACCAGGCAGAGAGGGAGCAGCAGAUGGAGGGAGGAGAGAAGGAUGAGAAGAGGCCCGUGGCCCAGAAGGCCCUCUACUCCACUGCCAUGGAGUCUAUCCAGGGAGGGGCUGCCUGCGGGGAGUCUAUCGAAACAGACGACACAAUGGGAGGCAUCCCAGCAGUCAAUGGGAAAGGAGAGCGUCUACUCCUCUACAUCGGAAUCAUAGACAUCCUGCAAUCCUACAGGCUAAUAAAGAAGCUGGAGCACACAUGGAAGGCUAUGGUUCAUGAUGGGGACACCGUAUCAGUCCACCGUCCUGGCUUCUAUGCAGACAGGUUCUUCAAAUUUAUGAGCAGCACUGUGUUUAAGAAGAGCUCAUCCUUGAAGUCUUCUCCCAUUAAGAAGGGCCGUGUGGGCCUGACGGUGACUAAGUACACUGGCCCCGGGGCCGCCUGGUCAGCCAGCCAGCUGCCCUCUGAGAGAGACGACAACAUCUACGACCUGAGAGGAGCACGCAGCUUCCCCACGCUGGAGGACGAGGGGCGACCAGACCUCCUCCCCUGCACCCCUCCGUCAUUUGAGGAGGCGACCACAGCCUCCAUCGCCACCACGCUCUCCUCCACCACCUCUCUGUCCAUCCCAGAGAGGUCUCCCUCAGACGCUGGAGCAGAGCACCCCCGCUACAGGUACCAGAACAACAGCUCUGAGAGAAGGAGGCACACCCAGUCUGUCAGCCAUGACGGGAGGACUCAGGAGGAGGUGCAUGAGGAGGAGCAGCAGACCAUCACGGUGGAGGUGGAGGUGAAGAGACACGACAGCGAGCCCACCAUCACGGCCCCACAGCCCUCUCCAGAGACCAGUGAGUUACCAGAAUUAGCCUCUGCUGCUGCCUAUCCCCCAGCCCCUGGGGCCCCUGCUGAAGCCUCUGCUGAGACCCCUGGCCCAGGGGCCACUGUCAGUCCCAAGGUUGUGGUUGUGGAGGCUGAGCGGGACCGCCGGGGCAGCACAGUGUCUGGGUCCGGAUGCACCAGCCAAGCCUCACAGGAUGACGAGGAUGACGUGCCAAUCACAGACAUCUACUUUCUUGCAGGGAGAACCUGGGUGUUCUCUCCUGUCCUGCGGAGGAGAAAGCUCCAGACCAGCUCUCAGAUGCAGUCCCCCUGAGGACAAGACCUGGGUGUACUCCCCUCUGCACUACGGCAGUGAGUCUCAGACCUUGCCGGAUGGAGAAGGGGAGGAGAGCGAGACAAGCUGAGAGGAUGAUUCCGUGGAGAAAGGAGCCAUCAGACUGAUCCCCGGGCCUCUGAUUGGCAGACAGCGGAAGCAUUCCAAUCCAGAACUGUAUUUUAAAACAUGGAUACAAAAACAAAACAGACUAAAUACUGUGAGGGAAACCGCCUCGACAUCCCGUGGUCACAGUGGUGAUGAUACUGUAUGAUCGAUUCCCCUCCUUUCAACCCACCCCAACUCCAAAUUGCCAUACCAGAAGAAAUGCAGGAACUCAAAUUGCUCGGCUAUACAUCUAGCAUGCCCCAUAAAAACAUGGGCAUUGAGGCAACUCUGCUAAUCCUCUCACAUUCCCAAAUGUCGAUACAGUCAAAUGGUCACAUGUAUUUCAUUGAUAUCAUGUUAAUUUAUAUUGUGAUUUUUCUUAGUUUAUUAUUGUUUUUUAAAUCUUUUUUAUUUGUGCACUUUUUUCAGACAUUUUUUAGUACUGUGAAUAUAUUUAGUUAUGUUGUGUGCUUCAUAUGUAGCUCUAGCAGCAAUAUUAACGUCGCUAUCGAAGUGGUACUUUACCGCUAUGUUGAAUGGUAUUUUACCACUAUGUUGAAAGGUACUUUACCAUUGGAGAGGGAACACUUUAUUUCCAAUAGAUGAAAAAUGAUCUAUAGAAUGUGUUUCAGAAAACAUGACUUGGUAAAUCUCAUAAGCCUAAUGUAUUAUUUUACAGGUUUGUUUAUUCGUUCUUAUGUAUUUAUUUUGCCAUUUCAAUCACAGUAUUGCUACAGGCUUCUAGCCUCAAAACCAGAUCAUUGCAACACUAAAUAAGGUUGGGUAUUGUCAAUCAUUUCAAAAUCCUACAUCAUUACAAAGUCUUCCAGAACCGCCCAACUUUCAGAGAAAUGCAAACAAAUCAUUUUCUAAGCAUAAUGAUUCAUUGAGCUGUGUUAAUGUCAUGAAAUACCAAUAUUUCAGCAGUCAAAUCUUGACUCUGAAUGUUAGCUCUGCUGGAGGGGAUUUAGGCUAAUGGAUUUGAUUACUUAGGCCAAAACACUCACAGUAUCACGUAUGUCCAGAAUUAAUUAAUACUUCUGUUAUUUAGUAAUAGUUAAUCUAAGAGGGAUUUCACGCUGCUCUUAGACAGCACUUUUAUGUAUCAACCAUCAUCAGAUGUGAAAGUGAAGUCUUCAUCACAAUCAUCUGGUAUAGGAUUAGUGUUAUAGUAUUUAUGUGAAUUCCAUGUUUUAAGGUUUAAGUUGUGUUUCAAUAUGUUUUUAUUCCUUUUCUGUUUCACACUUGGCUGUUUAAGUUAGUUGGUGUGUUUGUAUAUCUGUGCGGGACGGAAGGCGUCAAUGUCAAAACUUGUAAAAUACUGAUCAUUCUAUCAUAACGUGCAGUGGCCAGUUGUAAUCAGUUGCUGUUGUCCAUGUCAUCAAGAGACCAUAGCAGCAGUAUGUUGUACAGUACAGGUGUAGUCUUAGUUUUAAUUGCCUUAUUGAGAAAUUAAAACGUAUCAUAUUGAUGUUUUUUCAUAGUAGUGCUGUUGUAUUUAUUAUUUUCAAGUCCUUUUUUUCAAUACUGUAGUUGUGAGCCAGAAAAUGUGUAUAUACAAUUAUAAAUACAUAUAUAAAGAUUAUAAAUAUAUUUUCCAUUUGAAUUGGAGAAUAUUAUUUUUAUUUGAUUACAUUUUUUGCUGCUGGCAGGAAAUGAUUAAGAGCUACACAUGAUUUACUGUACCAUGUUCUUCAAGGUGUUGACAUGAUGCAGCUCGAUUUAUGGUUUAUAAAUCACAGCUGUUUUCUUUUUUUUUGUAUGAUGUCAGUU